Molecule: ribosomal RNA, 569 nt
Filed under: Sporobolomyces carnicolor
Lineage: Eukaryota; Fungi; Basidiomycota; Microbotryomycetes; Sporidiobolales; Sporidiobolaceae
Description: eukaryotic LSU rRNA
Rfam family: Eukaryotic large subunit ribosomal RNA
Source: RNAcentral
AAUCUGGCGCCUUCGGCGUCCGAAUCUCGAGAAGUGUUUUCCGUGAUAGACCGCAACAAGUCUCUUGGAACAGAGCGUCAUAGUGGUGAGAACCCAGUACACGAUGCGGAUGCCUAUUACUUUGUGAUACACUUUCGAAGAGUCGAGUUGUUUGGGAAUGCAGCUCAAAUUGGGUGGUAAAUUCCAUCUAAAGCUAAAUAUUGGCGAGAGACCGAUAGCGAACAAGUACCGUGAGGGAAAGAUGAAAAGCACUUUGGAAAGAGAGUUAACAGUACGUGAAAUUGUUGGAAGGGAAACACAUGCAGUGAUACUUGCUAUUCGGGGCAACUCGAUUGGCAGGCCCGCAUCAGUUUUUCGGGGCGGAAAAUCAUAGAGAGAAGGUAGCAGUCUCGGCUGUGUUAUAGCUCUUUAUUGGAUUCGCCCUGGGGGACUGAGGAACGCAGCGUGCUUUUUGCAUGAGCUUCGGCUUAUCCACGCUUAGGAUGCGGGUUUAUGGCUGUAUAUGACCCGUCUGAAACAGGGGCCUGGGGUUCUUUAUGAAAGGAUGGAACCACUUUUACUCAUUUGGC